RNAcentral lists this ribosomal RNA (482 nucleotides) under uncultured bacterium. RNAcentral's name for it is "partial 16S ribosomal RNA". It matches the Rfam family "Bacterial small subunit ribosomal RNA", at positions 28 to 507 of the family's 1533-position model. The record is from RNAcentral.
GAUGAACGCUAGCGGCAGGCCUAAUACAUGCAAGUCGAACGAGAUUAAGAGGCUUGCUUCUUCUGAAAGUGGCGCACGGGUGCGUAACGCGUAUGCAACCUACCUUAAUCAGGGGGAUAGCCCGAAGAAAUUCGGAUUAAGACCGCAUAAAAACACAGGAUAGCAUUAUCCAAUGUUCAAAUAUUUAUAGGAUUAAGAUGGGCAUGCGUGUCAUUAGCUAGUUGGCGGGGUAACGGCCCACCAAGGCGACGAUGACUAGGGGAUCUGAGAGGAUGACCCCCCACACUGGUACUGAGACACGGACCAGACUCCUACGGGAGGCAGCAGUAAGGAAUAUUGGUCAAUGGAGGGAACUCUGAACCAGCCAUGCCGCGUGCAGGAAGACAGCCCUCUGGGUCGUAAACUGCUUUUAUUCGGGAAUAAACCUUUCUACGUGUAGGAAGCUGAAUGUACCGAAGGAAUAAGGAUCGGCUAACUCCGUG